CUGGAUCUUGGUAUGUAGUUGACAUUACUGUUUCUGUGCUGUUUCUAUUUUUAUCUUCUUACAGCUCGCUUUGAGGAUUUUGAACCAUCAGACACUAGAAUUCAGUACUUUUGGGAGGCCUUGAACAACUUUACUAAUGAGGAUCGUAGUCGCUUUCUGAGGUUUGUUACGGGGAGAAGCAGACUUCCUGCUCGAAUUUACAUCUAUCCUGAUAAAUUGGGUUCGGAGACCACUGAUGCCCUCCCUGAAUCGUCCACUUGCUCCAGCACGCUCUUUUUGCCCAACUAUGCCUCUGCCAAAGUUUGUGAAGAAAAAUUGCGUUACGCAGCUUAUAAUUGUGUGGCCAUUGAUACCGACAUGAGUCCAUGGGAAGACUGAAACCUGGAAGGAUGAUGGUUUUGCUGAUGGUGGUCUGAUUUUUGUCCUUGCUACCUGGAAGAAGCUCUUGCACUCUGUUCAUCCUGACCCACCUUCCACAAAGUGUAUAUGGGUGUACAUAUCUAGAAAAUAAAAUAUCAGAUGUGAACAUUA
Ahaetulla prasina is the source of this 531-nucleotide long non-coding RNA. RefSeq lists it as uncharacterized. The record is from RefSeq and is a predicted model, not a curated record. The transcript is spliced from 4 exons. NCBI's taxonomy places the organism in Eukaryota, Metazoa, Chordata, Lepidosauria, Squamata, Colubridae.